Oryzias latipes (Japanese medaka) is the source of this 948-nucleotide long non-coding RNA. RefSeq lists it as uncharacterized. The record is from RefSeq and is a predicted model, not a curated record. NCBI's taxonomy places the organism in Eukaryota, Metazoa, Chordata, Actinopteri, Beloniformes, Adrianichthyidae.
UUGGGUUUCUAACUAUAACAAAGAAUACUUUACAUUCCACUGUCUACAUGCCUUCGCGUCAAAUGAAAGAGACUGAACAGCCUAAAAAAGUAAAUAAUAAUAAAUAAAGAAAAUCCUUAACGUAAGAUUAUGAAAACAUAUUAAAGCUACAGAUUCAUAAAUUAUUCUGUAGUAUUCCUGACAACUGAUUUCAUUUAUUCUACCACAGUUUAACACACAUUUCUUUAAAUUUGCCGGAGGGGAGAAGAACUUUUCUUGAAAAUGUAAGAUUUGGGAUAAACAAUGCAAGGCUGCUUCUAUGGUUUUAGUUUGUAAUAAACUGUGAUUAUUGCUUUUAAGUAAGUAGAAUACCAAUAACCAACAAAAUCGAGUAGUUUGGGGACAAACAACACCGGUAGUGGAGCAGAUGACCAGUCUAAAUUCCCCAUAAUCACCGAGCCUAACCCCACCUUUAAAUCCCCGAAUUCACCUGUCGCCGCACCUGAAGCCAGGCGCUUCAAAGGCGGCUUGCUCAACGUCAGCAACAGGUGUCCGUCUGCGAGCCCCACAAACAACUAAAGUAACACGAAAAACAUUUCCGUCGUUUAAACAACAUUACACACACGCAAAGUAACCGGUUGGGUGAGUUGGCUGAUAGUUAAUCCCAGUCCCGUGACCGACCGGCUGUGAGCGCCCGACUCAUUCCCGAAAAAAGUUCGUGGAAGUCGAAGUUUCCAGUUCGCCGCGGCAGCUCACCUUGGGACUCCGGAGGAGAUGUGUCGCUGCCAUCCAGGUCCGCCAUUUCUCCUGACGUCAGCUGAGAGGGAUCACACGCGCAGGAACCCGCGCGCGACCUGAUGGAAUGAUCCCAGACGGGGUGGCCUGGAUGGGCCCGGCCCCUCCCACGGACAACACGUCUUUACCAACUCAGCAGAAAUGAUGUGCAUUUAUUAAAUGGUGACAGCCAAA